This 385-nucleotide ribosomal RNA is filed under the name uncultured bacterium. Its description in RNAcentral is "bacterial SSU rRNA". It matches the Rfam family "Bacterial small subunit ribosomal RNA", at positions 30 to 417 of the family's 1533-position model. The record is from RNAcentral.
AUUGAACGCUGGCGGCAUGCCUUACACAUGCAAGUCGAACGGCAGCGGGCCUUCGGGUGCCGGCGAGUGGCGAACGGGUGAGUAAUGCAUCGGAACGUGCCAUUGAGUGGGGGGAUAACGUAGCGAAAGUUACGCUAAUACCGCAUAUUCUGUGAGCAGGAAAGCAGGGGACCGCAAGGCCUUGCGCUCUUUGAGCGGCCGAUGUCAGAUUAGCUAGUUGGUGAGGUAAAGGCUUACCAAGGCGACGAUCUGUAGCGGGUCUGAGAGGAUGAUCGCCACACUGGAACUGAGACACGGUCCAGACUCCUACGGGAGGCAGCAGUGGGGAAUUUUGGACAAUGGGCGCAAGCCUGAUCCAGCCAUGCCGCGUGAGUGAAGAAGGCCU